Molecule: ribosomal RNA, 292 nt
Filed under: uncultured bacterium
Lineage: Bacteria
Description: partial 16S ribosomal RNA
Source: RNAcentral
GGACUACACGGGUAUCUAAUCCUGUUUGCUACCCACGCUUUCGUGCAUGAGCGUCAGUGUCGGCCCAGGGGGCUGCCUUCGCCAUUGGUGUUCCUCCACAUCUCUACGCAUUUCACUGCUACACGUGGAAUUCCACCCCCCUCUGCCGCACUCUAGCCUUCCAGUCACAAGCGCAGUUCCCAGGUUAAGCCCGGGGAUUUCACGCCUGUCUUAAAAAACCGCCUGCGCACGCUUUACGCCCAGUAAUUCCGAUUAACGCUCGCACCCUACGUAUUACCGCGGCUGCUGGCAC